CAGACACGGCCAUUUGGUGUCCGUAGGGAUGCCGGACAAAGCCGGAGGUAACACGGGGAUUCGAACCGGCAAUCCCCACGUUGGUAGGCAAUGGAAUAGACCGCCACACCACCCGGACGCCCCCUGUAGCAGAGCCCCCUGAUAUUUAAAACACGGCAUUUGGACCCAGGAGCUGGAGUCUCCGUAGCAUCUUCUUUCCAGAUGGUUGAUCGAUGGGUCAACCCCUAACCCCAGCGGUCAAUCAACCAACCCCUUGCAUGAUGACACGAGCUUGAAGGAGAUUUGGUAAACAGACAUGCAACGCCUGUCAAGUGAACGGCUCCCAAAGUGUUUCAUGUGUCUGCUGAUGGUUAGAAAGAACGCAGAACUGAGUGUCCUCAGACUUUUUACACUACGCCUUUAUACCGUGAAAGCAGGACCGCUAAAAAAGCAGCCUUUUCACAUUUAAAUGCCGCUGAACUGCCCAUAUCAGUGUAAGAUAUGAGGGGAAAUCAGUUCUGACCACAUCAGUUAGACCCGGCAAUGUCUCGGUUCAGCUUGAAGCAAUCAACCGAGGUAUGU
Lampris incognitus (smalleye Pacific opah) is the source of this 561-nucleotide long non-coding RNA. RefSeq lists it as uncharacterized. Lineage: Eukaryota; Metazoa; Chordata; Actinopteri; Lampriformes; Lampridae. The transcript is spliced from 3 exons. The record is from RefSeq and is a predicted model, not a curated record.